GUCUAUGGUCAUGCCACCCUGAACAUGCCCGAUGUCUGAUCUCGGAAGCAAAGCAGGGUCGGACCUGGUUAGUACUUGGAUGAGAGACCACCUAGGAAGACCAGGUGCUAUAGGCA
RNAcentral lists this ribosomal RNA (116 nucleotides) under Pteropus alecto (black flying fox). The record is from RNAcentral. RNAcentral also lists the same sequence under 1 other name. Lineage: Eukaryota; Metazoa; Chordata; Mammalia; Chiroptera; Pteropodidae.